AUCUACGACCAUACCACCCUGAACAUACCUGAUCUCCUCUGAUCUCAGAAGCUAAGCAGGGUCGGGCCUAGUUAGUACUUGGAUGGGAGAAU
This 92-nucleotide ribosomal RNA is filed under the name Erinaceus europaeus (western European hedgehog). Lineage: Eukaryota; Metazoa; Chordata; Mammalia; Eulipotyphla; Erinaceidae. The record is from RNAcentral.